AGCGUGGGGUGACAAGUGCCGUGAACAUCAUGCACAGCAGCCUCCAGCAAGGCAAAUUUGACACAAAAGGCAUCGAGAGUACUGACGAGGCGAAGAUGUCCUUCCUGGUGACUCUGAACAACGUGGAAGUCUGCAGUGAAAACAUCUCCACUCUGAAGAAGACACUGGAGAGUGACUGCACCAAGCUCUUCAGCCAGGGCAUUGGAGGGGAGCAGGCCCAGGCCAAGUUUGACAGCUGCCUUUCUGACUUGGCCGCCGUGUCCAACAAAUUCCGAGAUCUCUUGCAGGAAGGGCUGACGGAGCUCAACAGCACAGCCAUCAAGCCACAAGUGCAGCCUUGGAUCAACAGCUUUUUCUCCGUCUCCCACAACAUCGAGGAGGUUAGCCUGGCCACAGGCAGCCAUCAAGCCCCGAUGACCCCUCGCCCCUAGCCCCAGCUAGAGGGAGCGGAGCCAUCUGAACAGACGAGACCUUCCAUGCUUCCCAGGCUCACUUCCCCCACCCUCACCCUUGAAGACUAGGUUCCUCCCAGGAAACAGUUUGUCCCUAGUCAGAAGGGCUCAGAAAGACAUGGAGUUUGCCUUGACCUGACUUAUUCCCUUAUUGGAGCUCUUUUUGCCCCACCUAUGAUAGACUUAGAAGCGUUUUUUUCCUCCUGGCCUAGUGAUUUCAUUCCUGUAGAACAUGAUAUCCAAGAAGGAAUAAAAUGCCGGAACUUUACCAUAUUA
This 728-nucleotide small RNA is filed under the name Pongo abelii (Sumatran orangutan). RNAcentral's name for it is "retained intron". Lineage: Eukaryota; Metazoa; Chordata; Mammalia; Primates; Hominidae. The record is from RNAcentral.